GAUGAGGAACGUAGCGAAAUGCGAUAAUUAAUGUGAAUUGCAGAAUUCCGUGAAUCAUCGAGUCUUUGAACGCACAUUGCGCCUCAUGGCAUUCCGUGAGGCAUGCCCAUCUCAGCGUUAGAAAAUAUUCUCAAAUUUUAGUUUUGUGCUAAAAUUUGGAUCAUGUCAAGGAAGCUAUUACUAUUAUUGUGAUCGCUCUUUGGAAAUUGAUAGGUCUUUGAGUUGCUACUCAUAGAACGUGAUGAAUCUUUCUUCGUUCUAUUGUAAUUCACUCUGGUAGUCCUAAAACUUGUAUGCCUGUGGCAUAUCUUGUAAUUUGACCUGAGAUUGGGUAGGGAUACCCGCUGAACUUAAGCAUAUCAAUAAGCGGAGGA
Molecule: unclassified non-coding RNA, 374 nt
Filed under: soil metagenome
Description: partial contains internal transcribed spacer 2 and large subunit ribosomal RNA
Rfam family: 5.8S ribosomal RNA (bases 1-120)
Source: RNAcentral